CCAUGCACACGCAGCUGCACGACUCCAGGCUGAAGUUCCCGUGGCCGCUGCACUGCGGGAUGUAAUCCAGCUGCCCUGCAAGGAUGCAGGACCGAGGGUCAGAGCCCACCGCGGGCGAGGUGGAGAAGGGCAAGAGAUCCUGGUCCCUCCUAUGAGAAGCAGAUACGUGCCCGAAGACAUCAUCCCUCUCCUGGAACAAUUCCCAUCCAGACUGCGAAUACUGGGAAUGCCAAUCAGGAUCUCCUCAGAUCUCAGCCUCUAGUUAAGUUAUCAAGAGGAGAGAGGAUGCUUGUAACUCCAUGCUGCUUCCCUGGCUCUGAAGGGCAGCUUAGGUGAAACAUCUUUGACUCUGAUGGGGGCUCUUGGAGAGCUUCACAGAAGUACAUAUUUUUAUUCAGCUUUUCAGAUGCAAUCACUCCUCCUACAGAGAAGAUGAAGGGGUUUAUUGCCAGCUCCCAUGGUGCUGCCCUCAGCCCAGGGACAGCUUGGAAGAGCAGCAACUCUGUCUCUGCUCCCUGUCCCACAAGCAGUGGCUGAUGUCUAACAGCGUCUGAGGGACUGCAGGGCUGGGAAAUCCCCCUGCUCACACCUCCCCAGCUGCAGUUUUAUCCAUCAUAAAGGACUUCAGCUUUGGCUGUUACGCAGCGAGCAGGGCAUCCAAACCCAAGUGACCAAAUCCCUGCCUGGGGGUUUUCCUGUCCUACAGGACCUGAGCCAAGCUUCUCCACUAAAGCAGAGCCCCAUCGUGGGUGAACCUCCAUCAGCACUCUGAGUGGCACCACCAGGUUUUGCAUUUCUCUCUCCUGCCUUUCGCUCGAGCCCUCAGUCCCCAGCGAGAGCGAACGGGAUGUCGUUACUACCUGUGGC
Myiozetetes cayanensis is the source of this 867-nucleotide long non-coding RNA. RefSeq lists it as uncharacterized. The record is from RefSeq and is a predicted model, not a curated record. Lineage: Eukaryota; Metazoa; Chordata; Aves; Passeriformes; Tyrannidae. The transcript is spliced from 5 exons.